RNAcentral lists this ribosomal RNA (982 nucleotides) under Russula sp. Its description in RNAcentral is "partial 28S large subunit ribosomal RNA". It matches the Rfam family "Eukaryotic large subunit ribosomal RNA", at positions 24 to 979 of the family's 3401-position model. The record is from RNAcentral. Lineage: Eukaryota; Fungi; Basidiomycota; Agaricomycetes; Russulales; Russulaceae.
UUUCCCGGUGGGGACUUAGCAUAUCAAUAAGCGGAGGAAAAGAAACUAACAAGGAUUCCCCUAGUAACUGCGAGUGAAGCGGGAAAAGCUCAAAUUUAAAAUCUGGUGGUUUUUGGCCAUCCGAGUUGUAAUUUAGAGAAGCGUCUUCCGCGCUGGACCGUGCACAAGUCUCCUGGAAUGGAGCGUCAUAGAGGGUGAGAAUCCCGUCUUUGGCAUGGACACACCAGGGCUUUUGUGAUGCGCUCUCGAAGAGUCGAGUUGUUUGGGAAUGCAGCUCAAAAUGGGUGGUGAACUCCAUCUAAAGCUAAAUAUUGGCGAGAGACCGAUAGCGAACAAGUACCGUGAGGGAAAGAUGAAAAGCACUUUGGAAAGAGAGUGAAACAGUACGUGAAAUUGUUGAAAGGGAAACGCUUGAAGUCAGUCGCGUCGACCGAGACUCAGCCWWGCCUUGGCUUGGUGUACUUCUCGGCCAACGGGUCAGCAUCAAUUUUGCCCCUUGGAUAAUGGUGAGGGAAAUGUGACACCUUUAUGGUGUGUUAUAGUCUCUCGUCGCAUGCAAGGGUUGGGAUUGAGGAACUCAGCACGCACCUUUGGGUGUCGGGGUUUUUGCCCACGAUACGUGCUUAGGAUGUUGGCGUAAUGGCUUUAAACGACCCGUCUUGAAACACGGACCAAGGAGUCUAACAUGCCUGCGAGUGUUCGGGUGGAAAACUCGUGCGCGCAAUGAAAGUGAAAGUUGGGACCUCUGUCGUGGAGGGCACCGACGCCCGGACCAGACCUUCUGUGACGGAUCUGCGGUAAAGCAUGUAUGUUAGGACCCGAAAGAUGGUGAACUAUGCCUGAAUAGGGUGAAGCCAGAGGAAACUCUGGUGGAGGCUCGUAGCGAUUCUGACGUGCAAAUCGAUCGUCAAAUUUGGGUAUAGGGGCGAAAGACUAAUCGAACCAUCUAGUAGCUGGUUCCUGCCGAAUUCCCCUUCAGGAA